UGAAUACUCCCUCCGUCCGGAAAUACUUGUCCGAGAAGUGCAUAAAAAUGAAUGUAUCUAGAACUAAAAUACAUCUACAUACAUCCAUUCCUCCGACGAGUAUUUCCGGACGAAGGGAGUAGUAA
This is a non-coding RNA of Triticum urartu, 125 nucleotides long. Lineage: Eukaryota; Viridiplantae; Streptophyta; Magnoliopsida; Poales; Poaceae. The record is from Rfam.